Molecule: ribosomal RNA, 500 nt
Filed under: uncultured bacterium
Lineage: Bacteria
Description: partial 16S ribosomal RNA
Rfam family: Bacterial small subunit ribosomal RNA
Source: RNAcentral
AUUGAACGCUGGCGGCAUGCCUUACACAUGCAAGUCGAACGGCAGCACGGGAGCAAUCCUGGUGGCGAGUGGCGAACGGGUGAGUAAUAUAUCGGAACGUGCCCAGUCGUGGGGGAUAACGUAGCGAAAGCUACGCUAAUACCGCAUACGAUCUAUGGACGAAAGCGGGGGAUCGCAAGACCUCGCGCGAUUGGAGCGGCCGAUAUCAGAUUAGGUAGUUGGUGGGGUAAAGGCUCACCAAGCCGAAGAUCUGUAGCUGGUCUGAGAGGACGACCAGCCACACUGGGACUGAGACACGGCCCAGAAUCCUACGGGAGGCAGCAGUGGGGAAUUUUGGACAAUGGGCGAAAGCCUGAUCCAGCAAUGCCGCGUGCAGGAUAAAGGCCUUCGGGUUGUAAACUGCUUUUGUACGGAACGAAACGGCGAACUCUAAUACAGUUUGCUAAUGACGGUACCGUAAGAAUAAGCACCGGCUAACUACGUGCCAGCCGCCGCAGUAA